This 429-nucleotide ribosomal RNA is filed under the name uncultured bacterium. RNAcentral's name for it is "partial 16S ribosomal RNA". It matches the Rfam family "Bacterial small subunit ribosomal RNA", at positions 29 to 505 of the family's 1533-position model. The record is from RNAcentral.
AACGAACGCUGGCGGCAGGCUUAACACAUGCAAGUCGAGCGCCCCGCAAGGGGAGCGGCAGACGGGUGAGUAACGCGUGGGAACGUACCUUUUGGUUCGGAACAACUCCGGGAAACUGGAGCUAAUACCGGAUAAGCCCUAACUGGGAAAGAUUUAUCGCCGAAAGAUCGGCCCGCGUCUGAUUAGCUAGUUGGUGAGGUAACGGCUCACCAAGGCGACGAUCAGUAGCUGGUCUGAGAGGAUGAUCAGCCACACUGGGACUGAGACACGGCCCAGACUCCUACGGGAGGCAGCAGUGGGGAAUAUUGGACAAUGGGCGCAAGCCUGAUCCAGCCAUGCCGCGUGAGUGAUGAAGGCCUUAGGGUUGUAAAGCUCUUUUGUCCGGGAAGAUAAUGACUGUACCGGAAGAAUAAGCCCCGGCUAACUUCG